Ictidomys tridecemlineatus (thirteen-lined ground squirrel) is the source of this 1788-nucleotide long non-coding RNA. The record is from Ensembl. Lineage: Eukaryota; Metazoa; Chordata; Mammalia; Rodentia; Sciuridae.
AUCCCUGCAGGCAAGUGGCAUGAUGACACAGACAGACACAACCCAUCCCUAUCGGUGUGCCUUAAGACAGAAGAUCACACCCAGGCAGAGCGUGGACCCUGCCCAGAGUUGAAGCCUGCGGACCUCCAGCCCCCAUCUCAAUGGGCUCAGCAAGGAGCCUUCAGAAUGUGUGAAAGGGACCCCUGGAGAAGUUGGGGACAGGGUAGGACAAGGCAGUUCCCCACCGGGCCAACCAGAUGGCCCCACAAGAUCCGUGAAAGACAGUUUCAGAGCCCUGACUGCUCACACCCAACAAGGGCAAAGGACCCACAGAGGUGCCCGCACAGUGGGCUGACAGGCACCGAGACAGAGGCAAUCGGCUAGAAGAGGCCAUGCCCUGAAGCUGCAGACAGGGAGGAGGUCAAGUCAGAGAGGGCACCGGAGAUGGCAAGCGACUCACAAACCCAGGACUACAAAUCCAGUUGGAAACCAAGUGCUUUAGUGGCAAAAGGAGUUUCCCAACCAUCGUCUCAGGCGGCAAGCCCAGAAGUCUGGCCCUGGAGCCGCCACCCGGGCCCUUGUCCCCGUCCACCCGGAAGCCGGCCUCGCCGUCUGCACGGGGUCAGGUCCUGCAGGAACCAGGCUCACUGUGUGAAGAGUGUUUCCCCGUCGUCCUGGCUGCUCUGCCCGGUGACCUUGAGCCUCCAGGCCUCCUCCCUGGCCCUGAGACUCUGCUGGGUGAGGGUUUAGAUCCCUGCCUUCUCUGACUCAGUGUUUCCGACCCGUUCCCUCCUUUGUCCCCUUGCCCAGUGGUGAGCACAUGGGAAGGGGUUGGCCUCUGGUGUGGGACUGAGCCUUCCAGAAUCCCGUAGCUGAGCAAAUCCUCAGUUUGUGGGUCGGGACUUGGAGUGAAGGCUUUGCAUCUUGUCGGCUUUGCUUUUAAUUCGUCCUAAUUUUUAAGAAAGUGGAUUAUAAAGAGAAUAGAUCUGAGGAUGAGGCAAGACGCAGAAAGAGCGUCGGUGAGCAGUGACCUCUCCUCCCAUGCUGGGCCAGGCACCGUGAUCCAAAGACUUGUGGAUCCUGUGACUGAACAUUCCAGAGUAAAGACUUCAGGACGGGGGUCCAGGGUCGCGCUGGAGGGGAGAGGGCGAAGGAAGAGACGCGGAUGGAGAAGAGCAGAGCCCACCCCGCUGCCCGGGACUCUGACCUUGCUCUCAAACAGCACCUUGACCCUUCGAGGUCUCAGCCUUGACGGGACCCCUGCCCGGCUCUCAGAGGGGACGAGUCCACAUCUCAGACCAGACUGGUAACGUUUUCCUUUAAAACAAAUAGUUGUACGUGUGUAUGUCCGUGGUGCCUCAUCUGACCCUUGGCUCCAGGCCUGACUGUACCCAUGAAUAGCGCAGUGAGAACAGUGGCAAUGACCUUGAGAGUAAGAAGCAUUUAUUGAGCACUUGCUGGAUACCAAGCUCUGUGCCACAGACUUUAACCAAGCACAUUCACUAAAUGUUUAUUGAGAAACUAGUUAGUGCACAGAUCGGGGCUUAUGCUGGGGAUUCAUGGGAAUUCAACCACCACGGACAAGACUCAGAAGGAGCCUGGGGUCGCAGACCUUUCAUUCUGUGGACAGACUUGUGUUUAGGUACAUAGAUACCUAAACAAGCACCGCCAGACAGCGAAGGGCACCACGAGGAAGAGCGUGAUCUGCCCGAGUGACCAGAGCAAGGCCCGUCUCCACAGUGACCUUGGAGUGUCCAAUGACCUUCACAUUAAAUGCAGCUGUCCUCUGACUCCUUGGUGCAUCGUCUA